GGCGGCGUGGAUAAGACAUGCAAGUCGAACGAGAGAAUUGCUAGCUUGCUAAUAAUUCUCUAGUGGCGCACGGGUGAGUAACACGUGAGUAACCUGCCCCCGAGAGCGGGAUAGCCCUGGGAAACUGGGAUUAAUACCGCAUAGUAUCGAAAGAUUAAAGCAGCAAUGCGCUUGGGGAUGGGCUCGCGGCCUAUUAGUUAGUUGGUGAGGUAACGGCUCACCAAGGCGAUGACGGGUAGCCGGUCUGAGAGGAUGUCCGGCCACACUGGAACUGAGACACGGUCCAGACACCUACGGGUGGCAGCAGUCGAGAAUCAUUCACAAUGGGGGAAACCCUGAUGGUGCGACGCCGCGUGGGGGAAUGAAGGUCUUCGGAUUGUAAACCCCUGUCAUGUGGGAGCAAAUUAAAAAGAUAGUACCACAAGAGGAAGAGACGGCUAACUCUGUGCCAGCAGCCGCGGUAAUACAGAGGUCUCAAGCGUUGUUCGGAAUCACUGGGCGUAAAGCGUGCGUAGGCUGUUUCGUAAGUCGUGUGUGAAAGGCGCGGGCUCAACCCGCGGACGGCACAUGAUACUGCGAGACUAGAGUAAUGGAGGGGGAACCGGAAUUCUCGGUGUAGCAGUGAAAUGCGUAGAUAUCGAGAGGAACACUCGUGGCGAAGGCGGGUUCCUGGACAUUAACUGACGCUGAGGCACGAAGGCCAGGGGAGCGAAAGGGAUUAGAUACCCCUGUAGUCCUGGCAGUAAACGGUGCACGCUUGGUGUGCGGGGAAUCGACCCCCUGCGUGCCGGAGCUAACGCGUUAAGCGUGCCGCCUGGGGAGUACGGUCGCAAGAUUAAAACUCAAAGAAAUUGACGGGGACCCGCACAAGCGGUGGAGUAUGUGGCUUAAUUCGAUGCAACGCGAAGAACCUUACCUGGGCUUGACAUGUAAUGAACAACAUGUGAAAGCAUGCGACUCUUCGGAGGCGUUACACAGGUGCUGCAUGGCCGUCGUCAGCUCGUGUCGUGAGAUGUUUGGUUAAGUCCAGCAACGAGCGCAACCCCUGUUGCCAGUUACCAGCACGUGAAGGUGGGGACUCUGGCGAGACUGCCCAGAUCAACUGGGAGGAAGGUGGGGACGACGUCAGGUCAGUAUGGCCCUUAUGCCCAGGGCUGCACACGUACUACAAUGCCCAGUACAGAGGGGGCCGAAGCCGCGAGGCGGAGGAAAUCCUGAAAACUGGGCCCAGUUCGGACUGUAGGCUGCAACCCGCCUACACGAAGCCGGAAUCGCUAGUAAUGGCGCAUCAGCUACGGCGCCGUGAAUACGUUCCCGGGUCUUGUACACACCGCCCGUCACAUCAUGGAAGCCGGUCGCACCCGAAGUAUCUGAAGCCAACCGCAAGGAGGCAGGGUCCUAAGGUGAGACUGGUAACUGGGAUGAA
RNAcentral lists this ribosomal RNA (1426 nucleotides) under uncultured organism. RNAcentral's name for it is "16S ribosomal RNA". It matches the Rfam family "Bacterial small subunit ribosomal RNA". The record is from RNAcentral.